GACUUUAAAGAUCAGGCGGUGCCGGGUGAACGGGUAAAAAGAGCGUAGGCCUCUGAAAAGGUAACUGCAACAUAUAAAGGCUUUUUCGGACCAGAAGGAGAUUGGCCCUCAAGUGCAAAAACAUAAUAAAAUUUAAUUGUAGGACCCACUUGUCAAAUAGGGAUGAAAGUGAGCCUUAAAGAUUCGAUAGUGCCAGAUGAAAGGGUCAUUGCUCAAUGAAUAAAAGUUAC
RNAcentral lists this non-coding RNA (230 nucleotides) under Gossypium arboreum. Its description in RNAcentral is "Bacterial large subunit ribosomal RNA". It matches the Rfam family "Bacterial large subunit ribosomal RNA", at positions 2236 to 2466 of the family's 2925-position model. The record is from Rfam by way of RNAcentral. Lineage: Eukaryota; Viridiplantae; Streptophyta; Magnoliopsida; Malvales; Malvaceae.